GCGGGAAGCUUUGUGCACUCGGCGAAGACGGGAGCCCGCCCACCGCAACUGGACCGCGGCUGCCUAGCUCUGCCGCCUGGCAACCCUCACGACCUCCCCUAGCCCGCCAGUGUCGGCUACCAGUGCCUGUCCCGGGGAACGCCCGACGCCCGGACUCCAUGGUCCUCAGCCCGGGCGUGCCGUACGACUCUCCGCGCCUGCCCCUGAGGUCCCCCAGAAACCAAGACUUGCUCGGAGUCUGGCAGAGAGAAGGCCGCGUGGCCCGCAUCCCCGCCCAGGGCCUCCUGGCUGUGCUGGUACCUGGAUCCACACUGCAGAGACACAGGUGGUCACAAAAGCCACAUUACUCAGCUCCAGAGGAUACAACAGAAGUGAACAAAAGCAGUAAAGCCGCAUCAGACCUCCAUAGUUGGUACCACAGGCCAGGGCUCGCCAGAACUGCUCAAAGCAGCCAGCACUCAGCUUGCUCAAGACCACUCCCCUAG
RNAcentral lists this long non-coding RNA (485 nucleotides) under Fukomys damarensis (Damara mole-rat). Its description in RNAcentral is "lncRNA (ENSFDAG00000030788.1)". The record is from RNAcentral. Lineage: Eukaryota; Metazoa; Chordata; Mammalia; Rodentia; Bathyergidae.